AAACCUUGUGGGAAUGAGCGGGGACCACCCCGUAAGGCUAAAUACUCCUUAGUGACCGAUAGCGCAUAGUACUGUGAAGGAAAGGUGAAAAGGACCCCGGGAGGGGAGUGAAAGAGAACCUGAAACCCUGUGUUUACAAGCUGUGGAACAUCUUUAUAUGAUGAACCGCGUACUUUUUGUAGAACGGUCCGGCGAGUUACGCCAUCUGGCGAGGUUAAGUUCUUAAGGAAUGGAGCCGAAGUGAAAACAAGUCUUAAUAGGGCGUUAAGUCAGAUGGAGUAGACCCGAAACCGGGUGAUCUAUCCAUGUCCAGGAUGAAGUUGCCGUAAAAGGCAAUGGAGGUCCGAACCCACAUCCGUUGAAAAGGGUGGGGAUGAGGUGUGGAUAGGGGAGAAAUUCCAAUCGAACCCGGAGAUAGCUGGUUCUCCUCGAAAUAGCUUUAGGGCUAGCCUCAUGCAAGUCUUACGGAGGUAGAGCACUGAAUUCCUAAGGGGGCGUCAAAGCUUACCAAGGGAUAUCAAACUCCGAAUGCCGUGUAGAUGGUGCAUGGGAGUCAGACUAUCCGAGAUAAGUUGGGUAGUCAAAAGGGAAAGAGCCCAGACCUACAGCUAAGGUCCCAAAAUGUGUGUUAAGUGGAAAAGGAUGUGGGAUUUCGAAGACAACCAGGAUGUUGGCUUAGAAGCAGCCAUACAUUAAAAGAGUGCGUAAUAGCUCACUGGUCGAGAGGUCCUGCGCCGAAAAUGUCCGGGGCUGAAACACACUACCGAAGCCGUGGAAUCAUCGCAAGAUGAUUGGUAGAGGAGCAUUCUUAAAGAGAAGAAGCUGUACCGGAAGGAGCAGUGGAUUUUUAAGAAGAGAGAAUGCCGGAAUGAGUAGCGAGAGGAAGGUGAGAAUCCUUCCGGCCGAAUAUCUAAGGUUUCCAGAGUAAAGCUGAUCUGCUCUGGGUAAGUCGGGGCCUAAGGCGAGGUCGAAAGACGUAGUCGAUGGAUAACAGGUUGAAAUUCCUGUACUAUGAUAUGACAGAACUGUGGGGACACGUGUGGAAAGCGGAAGCCGGGAAUGGAAAGACCGGUGCAAGCAAGGUAGGAGACUGGUUGGCAAAUCCGCCAGUCAAUCUGAAGAUGUGAUGCGUACUGAAAUAUAAGUAAGGAAGUCCGUGAGCCAUGCGUCAAGAAAAGCCGCUAUUGUUCAUAUCGUACCCGUACCGUAAACCGACACAGGUGGAUGAGGAGAGAAUCCUAAGGCCGACGGGAGAAGCAUUGUUAAGGAACUCGGCAAAAUGACUCCGUAACUUCGGGAGAAGGAGUGCCAUGUAAAAGUGGCCGCAGAGAAUUGGCCCAAGCAACUGUUUAGCAAAAACACAGGUCUAUGCAAAACCGAAAGGUGAGGUAUAUGGGCUGACGCCUGCCCGGUGCUGGAAGGUUAAGGGGAGAGGUUAGUCGUAAGGCGAAGCUUUGAACUUAAGCCCCAGUAAACGGCGGCCGUAACUAUAACGGUCCUAAGGUAGCGAAAUUCCUUGUCGGGUAAGUUCCGACCCGCACGAAAGGCGUAAUGAUUUGGGCACUGUCUCAAC
This 1573-nucleotide ribosomal RNA is filed under the name metagenome. RNAcentral's name for it is "bacterial LSU rRNA". It matches the Rfam family "Bacterial large subunit ribosomal RNA", at positions 429 to 2025 of the family's 2925-position model. The record is from RNAcentral.